Small nucleolar RNA from Oncorhynchus kisutch (coho salmon), 142 nucleotides. The record is from Ensembl. NCBI's taxonomy places the organism in Eukaryota, Metazoa, Chordata, Actinopteri, Salmoniformes, Salmonidae.
GUGCACUGUCUUUGAACCUGGUUGACCCUUUCUGUGGUCUCUCAGGCCAAUCUACAGCUGCUACAGCAACAACCUGGCUUGUUUAUAACUGGGGCCUCUUGGCUAAACCACCAGGCGGCCCUUUUAAGAACAACUCACACCU